This 1316-nucleotide ribosomal RNA is filed under the name bioreactor metagenome. RNAcentral describes it as "bacterial LSU rRNA". It matches the Rfam family "Bacterial large subunit ribosomal RNA", at positions 1631 to 2925 of the family's 2925-position model. The record is from RNAcentral.
CAGGCGGGUAACCGUAUCUGAAACCGACACAGGUGGGAGGGAAGAAAAUUCCAAGGCGCGCGAGAGAAACCUCGUUAAGGAACUCGGCAAUCUAGCCCCGUAACUUCGGAAGAAGGGGUCCUCCCUGGAGUCAUCGUAACAGAGAAGCUCCGAGGAGGCGCAGUGAACGGGCUCAGGCGACUGUUUAUCAAAAACACAGCACUCUGCUAACUCGUAAGAGGAUGUAUAGGGUGUGACACGUGACCAAUGCUGUAAGGUUAAGGUGAGAGGUUAUCCCCGCAAGGGGAGAAGCUUUGAACUGAAGCCCCAGUGAAUGUCGGCCGUAACUAUAACGGUCCUAAGGUAGCGAAAUUCCUUGUCGGGUAAGUUCCGACCUGCACGAAUCGUGUAACGAUCUGAGCGCUGUCUCAACGAGGAUCUCGGUGAAAUUGUAGUUCCGGUGAAAAUGCCGGAUACCCGCAGUAGGACGGAAAGACCCUGUGAACCUUUACUGUAAUCUGAUAUUGGGUUCUAGUUGAUUAUGUGUAGCAUAGCUGGGAGGCUGCGAAGCCCGAUCGUUAGGUCGGGUGGAGCCAACAGUGAAAUACCAGUCUUGAUUAACCGGAAUUCUAACCUUUGCCCGUGCAACCGGGUGAGGAACAGUGUCAGAGGGUCAGUUUGACUGGGGCGGUUUCCUCCAAAAUGGUAACGGAGGAGUUCGAAGGUUCCCUCAGCACGGUCGGCAAUCGUGCGCAGAGCGCAUAGGUAGAAGGGAGCUUAACUGCGAGACCUACAAGUCGAGCAGGUGCGAAAGCAGGACUAAGUGAUCCGGUGGUAGGAAGUGGUACCGCCAUCGCUCAACGGACAAAAGGUACUCCGGGGAUAACAGGCUGAUCGCUGCCAAGAGUCCAUAUCGACGCAGCGGUUUGGCACCUCGAUGUCGACUCAUCACAUCCUGGGGCUGGAGAAGGUCCCAAGGGUUCGGCUGUUCGCCGAUUAAAGUGGUACGCGAGUUGGGUUCAGAACGUCGUGAGACAGUUCGGUCCUUAUCCACUGUGGGCGUAGGAAAUUUGAGGAGAACAUUCCUUAGUACGAGAGGACCGGGAAUGACGCACCUCUGGUGUUCCAGUUGUCCUGCCAAGGGCAGUGCUGGGUAGCUAUGUGCGGAAUGGAUAAGCGCUGAAGGCAUCUAAGCGCUAAGCCGUCUCCAAGAUGAGAUUUCCCUACCCGUAAGGGUACUCAAGGCACCUUGAAGACUACGAGGUUGAUAGGCUGGGUGUGUAAGGCUCGCGAGGGCUUCAGCUAACCAGUACUAAUCUGCCGUGAGGCUUGACCUU